CCCGCUGAACUUAAGCAUAUUAUUAAGCGGAGGAAAAGAAACUAACAAGGAUUCCCCUAGUAACGGCGAGUGAAGCGGGAAUAGCUCAAUUUUAAAAUCUCCAUGUCUUGUUACAUGGCGAAUUGUAAUUUAUAGAAGCAUUUUCUAGGAUGACCUUGGUAUAAAUCCCUUGGAAUGGGGUAUCAUAGAGGGUGAGAAUCCCGUCUUUGACCGAGUGUUUCAUUCUUUUACGAUAUGCUUUCUUAGAGUCGGGUUGUUUGGGAAUGCAGCCCAAAAUGGGUGGUAGAUUUCAUCUAAAGCUAAAUAUUGGCAUGAGACCGAUAGCGAACAAGUACCGUGAGGGAAAGAUGAAAAGAACUUUGAAAAGAGAGUUAAAAGUACGUGAAACCGCCAAAAGGGAAACGAUUAGAACUAGCAAAAUUGUAUUGUGGCAAAUCAAAUAUUACUAGAAUGAACAUUUUACAAUAAGAGUAGCAAUACCUCUAUUGUAUUAUGCCUUUUGUUUUAUUAAUGUUGCACUUUGUCAUGAUUACGAGUCAACAUUAGUUUUUUAUAUAGGAUAAUACUAUUAAGAAGGUGGCCAUUUUGAACUCUUUUGUUUAAAGUGGUGUUAUAGCUUAAUAGUCGAUACUAUAUAGGGAGACUAAGGUAGCUGCAGAAUAUGCUCUCUUUUUGGGCUAGAUUAUUAAUUCUAUUAGUUGAAUGCAUUGAUUGGACUGUUCGUCAGUGUUUUCAGUGUGUAUUUGAUUAACUAGUUAUUAAUAUAUCAUACAUAUAUUCUAAAGAUGUUGACAAAAUAGUUUUAACCGACCCGUCUUGAAACACGG
RNAcentral lists this ribosomal RNA (827 nucleotides) under uncultured fungus. Its description in RNAcentral is "eukaryotic LSU rRNA". It matches the Rfam family "Eukaryotic large subunit ribosomal RNA", at positions 24 to 664 of the family's 3401-position model. The record is from RNAcentral. Lineage: Eukaryota; Fungi.